UCCAGACUCCUACGGGAGGCAGCAGUGGGGAAUAUUGCACAAUGGGGGGAACCCUGAUGCAGCGAUGCCGCGUGGAGGAAGAAGGUUUUCGGAUUGUAAACUCCUUUUAUCAGGGACGAUAAUGACGGUACCUGAAGAAAAAGCUCCGGCUAACUACGUGCCAGCAGCCGCGGUAAUACGUAGGGAGCAAGCGUUAUCCGGAUUUACUGGGUGUAAAGGGCGUGUAGGCGGGAGAGCAAGUCAGACGUGAAAUUCCAGGGCUCAACCCUGGAACUGCGUUUGAAACUGUUCUUCUUGAGUGAUGGAGAGGCAGGCGGAAUUCCGUGUGUAGCGGUGAAAUGCGUAGAUAUACGGAGGAACACCAGUGGCGAAGGCGGCCUGCUGGACAUUAACUGACGCUGAGGCGCGAAAGCGUGGGGAGCAAACAGGAUUAGAUACCCGAGUA
Molecule: ribosomal RNA, 445 nt
Filed under: uncultured bacterium
Lineage: Bacteria
Description: bacterial SSU rRNA
Rfam family: Bacterial small subunit ribosomal RNA
Source: RNAcentral